This is a transfer RNA of Ovis aries (sheep), 72 nucleotides long. It matches the Rfam family "tRNA". Rfam says of the family: Transfer RNA (tRNA) molecules are approximately 80 nucleotides in length. The record is from Rfam. Lineage: Eukaryota; Metazoa; Chordata; Mammalia; Artiodactyla; Bovidae.
UCCCUGGUGCCUCAGUUGGUAAAGAAUCUGCCUGCAAUGCAGGAGACCCAGGUUCGAUCCAUGGGUGGGGAA